This 253-nucleotide ribosomal RNA is filed under the name uncultured bacterium. RNAcentral's name for it is "partial 16S ribosomal RNA". It matches the Rfam family "Bacterial small subunit ribosomal RNA", at positions 524 to 776 of the family's 1533-position model. The record is from RNAcentral.
UACGGCGGGUGCGAGCGUUAAUCGGAAUUACUGGGCGUAAAGCGCGCGUAGGCGGUUUGUUAAGUCGGAUGUGAAAGCCCCGGGCUCAACCUGGGAACUGCACCCGAUACUGGCCGACUUGAGUGCGAGAGAGGGAGGUAGAAUUCCAUGUGUAGCGGUGAAAUGCGUAGAUAUAUGGAGGAAUACCGGUGGCGAAGGCGGCCUCCUGGCUCGACACUGACGCUGAGGUGCGAAAGCGUGGGUAGCAAACAGG